UGAUAAUAAUAUACCUAAUCCUUCGUACACGACCUAAAAACACUUUCAUUUAUGAAUAAAGAUUAAAAAAAUGUCGCAUUUUUAUAUAGUAACACCACUGACCCUUUAGUAACUCCAAUGACAUAAAAGUAUCACCAAUGACAUCACAUUUCAAAUUUUACCUUUAUCAAGUACUGAACACAAAGCCAAGAUCACCGAGCAAAAGAAAAAGAUGAAAAUAUAAUUCUUAGGCUAAAAAAUCUCAAAUUAU
This 250-nucleotide long non-coding RNA is filed under the name Mytilus galloprovincialis (Mediterranean mussel). Lineage: Eukaryota; Metazoa; Mollusca; Bivalvia; Mytilida; Mytilidae. The record is from RNAcentral.